This 128-nucleotide non-coding RNA is filed under the name Colobus angolensis palliatus. The record is from RNAcentral. Lineage: Eukaryota; Metazoa; Chordata; Mammalia; Primates; Cercopithecidae.
GUAUUGUAUGAAAGGAGAGACUGGUUAGCACUCCCCUUGACAAGGAUGGAAGAGGCCCUUGGGCCUGACAACAAACAUGUAGUUAAGGCAUUGUCACCUGUUUUGUGGCAGCUGAAGCACCAUUUUUA